Molecule: ribosomal RNA, 301 nt
Filed under: uncultured bacterium
Lineage: Bacteria
Description: partial 16S ribosomal RNA
Rfam family: Bacterial small subunit ribosomal RNA
Source: RNAcentral
CAGCAGCCACGGUAAUACGUAGGGUGCAAGCGUUAUCCGGAAUUAUUGGGCGUAAAGAGCUCGUAGGCGGUUUGUCGCGUCUGCUGUGAAAACUGGAGGCUCAACCUCCAGCCUGCAGUGGGUACGGGCAAACUAGAGUGCGGUAGGGGAGAUUGGAAUUCCUGGUGUAGCGGUGGAAUGCGCAGAUAUCAGGAGGAACACCGAUGGCGAAGGCAGAUCUCUGGGCCGUAACUGACGCUGAGGAGCGAAAGCAUGGGGAGCGAACAGGAUUAGAUACCCCCGUAGUCCCUGUCUCUUAUAC